This 442-nucleotide ribosomal RNA is filed under the name uncultured bacterium. RNAcentral describes it as "partial 16S ribosomal RNA". It matches the Rfam family "Bacterial small subunit ribosomal RNA", at positions 338 to 795 of the family's 1533-position model. The record is from RNAcentral.
CCUACGGGAGGCAGCAGUAGGGAAUCUUUCACAAUGGGCGAAAGCCUGAUGGAGCAACGCCGCGUGCAGGCUGAAGGCCUUCGGGUUGUAAACUGCUUUUAUAAGCGAGAAAUAUGAUGGUAACUUAUGAAUAAGGAUCGGCUAACUACGUGCCAGCAGCCGCGGUCAUACGUAGGAUCCGAGCAUUAUCCGGAGUGACUGGGUGUAAAGAGUUGCGUAGGUGGCAUAAUAAGUAGCUAGUGAAAUCGGGUGGCUCAACCAUUCAGACUAUUAGCUAAACUGUUAAGCUCGAGACCGUUAGGGGUAACUGGAAUUUCUAGUGUAGGAGUGAAAUCCGUAGAUAUUAGAAGGAACACCAAUAGCGUAGGCAGGUUACUGGGACGGUUCUGACACUAAGGCACGAAAGCGUAGGGAGCAAACGGGAUUAGAUACCCUGGUAGUC